UCGAGCGGUAGCACAGAGAGCUUGCUCUCGGGUGACGAGCGGCGGACGGGUGAGUAAUGUCUGGGAAACUGCCUGAUGGAGGGGGAUAACUACUGGAAACGGUAGCUAAUACCGCAUAACGUCGCAAGACCAAAGUGGGGGACCUUCGGGCCUCAUGCCAUCAGAUGUGCCCAGAUGGGAUUAGCUAGUAGGUGGGGUAACGGCUCACCUAGGCGACGAUCCCUAGCUGGUCUGAGAGGAUGACCAGCCACACUGGAACUGAGACACGGUCCAGACUCCUACGGGAGGCAGCAGUGGGGAAUAUUGCACAAUGGGCGCAAGCCUGAUGCAGCCAUGCCGCGUGUAUGAAGAAGGCCUUCGGGUUGUAAAGUACUUUCAGCGAGGAGGAAGGUGUUGAGGUUAAUAACCUCAGCAAUUGACGUUACUCGCAGAAGAAGCACCGGCUAACUCCGUGCCAGCAGCCGCGGUAAUACGGAGGGUGCAAGCGUUAAUCGGAAUUACUGGGCGUAAAGCGCACGCAGGCGGUCUGUUAAGUCAGAUGUGAAAUCCCCGGGCUCAACCUGGGAACUGCAUUUGAAACUGGCAGGCUUGAGUCUUGUAGAGGGGGGUAGAAUUCCAGGUGUAGCGGUGAAAUGCGUAGAGAUCUGGAGGAAUACCGGUGGCGAAGGCGGCCCCCUGGACAAAGACU
RNAcentral lists this ribosomal RNA (688 nucleotides) under uncultured bacterium. Its description in RNAcentral is "bacterial SSU rRNA". It matches the Rfam family "Bacterial small subunit ribosomal RNA", at positions 62 to 741 of the family's 1533-position model. The record is from RNAcentral.